GACAGCCAGGAUGUUGGCUUAGAAGCAGCCAUCAUUUAAAGAAAGCGUAAUAGCUCACUGGUCGAGUCGGCCUGCGCGGAAGAUGUAACGGGGCUAAACCAUGCACCGAAGCUGCGGCAGCGACGCUUAUGCGUUGUUGGGUAGGGGAGCGUUCUGUAAGCCUGUGAAGGUGGCCUGUGAGGGUUGCUGGAGGUAUCAGAAGUGCGAAUGCUGACAUAAGUAACGAUAAAGCGGGUGAAAAGCCCGCUCGCCGGAAGACCAAGGGUUCCUGUCCAACGUUAAUCGGGGCAGG
RNAcentral lists this ribosomal RNA (292 nucleotides) under Salmonella enterica subsp. enterica serovar Heidelberg. RNAcentral's name for it is "partial 23S ribosomal RNA". It matches the Rfam family "Bacterial large subunit ribosomal RNA", at positions 1088 to 1378 of the family's 2925-position model. The record is from RNAcentral. Lineage: Bacteria; Pseudomonadati; Pseudomonadota; Gammaproteobacteria; Enterobacterales; Enterobacteriaceae.